Molecule: ribosomal RNA, 429 nt
Filed under: Pseudomonadota bacterium
Lineage: Bacteria; Pseudomonadati; Pseudomonadota
Description: Proteobacteria bacterium partial 16S ribosomal RNA
Rfam family: Bacterial small subunit ribosomal RNA
Source: RNAcentral
UGGGGAAUAUUGGACAAUGGGCGAAAGCCUGAUCCAGCCAUGCCGCGUGUGUGAAGAAGGUCUUCGGAUUGUAAAGCACUUUAAGUUGGGAGGAAGGGCAGUAAGCGAAUACCUUGCUGUUUUGACGUUACCGACAGAAUAAGCACCGGCUAACUCUGCGCCAGCAGCCGUGGUAAUACAGAGGGUGCAAGCGUUAAUCGGAAUUACUGGGCGUAAAGCGGGCGUAGGUGGUUCGUUAAGUUGAAUGUGAAAGCCCCGGGCUCAACCUGGGAACUGCAUCCAAAACUGGCGAGCUAGAGUAGGGCAGAGGGUGGUGGAAUUUCCUGUGUAGCGGUGAAAUGCGUAGAUAUAGGAAGGAACACCAGUGGCGAAGGCGACCACCUGGGCUCAUACUGACACUGAGGUGCGAAAGCGUGGGGAGCAAACAGG